AUUGAACGCUGGCGGCAGGCCUAACCCAUGCAAGUCGAGCGCGCGGCGGACGGGUGAGUAAUGUCUGGGAAACUGCCUGAUGGAGGGGGAUAACUACUGGAACCGGUAGCUAAUUCCGCAUACCAUCAGAUGUGCCCAGAUGGGAUUGGCUAGUAGGUGGGGUAACGGCUCACCUAGGCGACGCUCCCUAGCUGGUCUGAGCGGAUGACCAGCCACACUGGAACGGAGAAACGGUCCAGACGCCGACGGGAGGAAGCAGUGGGGAAUAUUGCACAAGGGGAGCAAGCCUGAGGCAGCCAGGCCGCGUGUGUGAAGAAGGCCUUCGGGUUGUAAAGCACUUUCAGCGGGGAGGCGUUACCCGCAGAAGAAGCACCGGCUAACUCCGUGCCAGCAGCCGCGGUAAUUC
This 406-nucleotide ribosomal RNA is filed under the name uncultured bacterium. RNAcentral's name for it is "partial 16S ribosomal RNA". It matches the Rfam family "Bacterial small subunit ribosomal RNA", at positions 29 to 526 of the family's 1533-position model. The record is from RNAcentral.